AUGGACCAGGAGCCUCCACAUUGCUCUUGGGGGUGGCAGGGGCCUCUAUGCAGCUUUCAGAUCCAGCUAGUGGCCCCCGAGUGCCUUUUGGAGCAGGGCAGGGACACUGGCUUUUUAAUGGCAAGGCGAGGUGGCGAGAGACCACUCUCCGAAGAGCAAAUGCUCCUAGAGUGUGCGUGUGGCCUUGCCCUGGAUGUCCUGGCCCAUGGGAUAAUGGAUAGACUCGGCAGUGCAAACCCAGAAUUGGUUUGCCUGCCCAGCUCAGGACUGACAGUGACUUCUCCCCCCUGCCAGAGAGAUGAUGAAGACCCCGCCACCCCUGCGUUCCUCCAUCUUCUGCCAUCUGGCAGCACUGCUCGGCGGGGAGAACUGCACCUGGGAUUUCGUCACURUGGCUUUCUUCAUCGAGGUGAGCCUGAUGGCAAGCAGUGCCUCUCUGAGGUGCCUCGAACCACCCCGCCCUCUUGCGCCCACAGCUGCCAGGCAAGAAAAAUGCAGGUCCUGUUGCCAGACAUCAUGGAGCGACUGCAGGCUGCUGACAGCGGCAUAAAGGCCCUGCCUGUUCUCAGCAAUGUGCUCUGUUUCAUGGACAGGCGGAUGAUCAGCCCCAUCGCUCUGCAGCUGGCCGAGAAGCUCCAGCCACUCUUUGAUGACGUAAGACUGGUGGGAGAGCCUGAGGCUCUGUUAGCGUGGCCCGUGUGGUGUGUCCCUCUCUGCAUGUGCCUACUGGCAUAUGAAUUUGUGCCUCCCACCACAGACCCUGUGCUCUCCUGGGAGACAUUUUGCUCUGCGGUUUUCAGACUGCUGCCCUGUCCUGCCCUUGGUGUCCUGCAUGGCAGGACUGUGUCAAAGCAGCGCCAUCUCUGCCCUCAGCUGUUCCAUAUCAUGCUUACCCCCUGCAGCACUUGCCAUGACCUUGGGCCAAGGCAGCAGAAAGCCCAGAGCAAGCCUGAGAGUGAGGGAGAGGCUGUGCCCCAUGGCUGCUGCUUUCUGUCACUGUCUUUUGCCUGGGGACACUGA
RNAcentral lists this long non-coding RNA (1020 nucleotides) under Apteryx haastii (Great spotted kiwi). RNAcentral's name for it is "lncRNA (ENSAHAG00000015041.1)". The record is from RNAcentral. Lineage: Eukaryota; Metazoa; Chordata; Aves; Apterygiformes; Apterygidae.